AUCAACCAUCAAGCAUGGCUUGUCGUUGGACUCUUGUUGCUGUAACACGCGACAAGUCCGAAAGAUAAUGAACGGUGUCAUGGUGGCCCUAAAUGCAACGAGCUUUUUACAGCACGCAUCUAGUGGUUAGCAGGCCCGGUCUUAACCCUUAAUUUUUCAAGGUUGACCUCGGAUCAGGUAGGAAUACCCGCUGAACUUAA
Molecule: unclassified non-coding RNA, 200 nt
Filed under: soil metagenome
Description: partial contains internal transcribed spacer 2 and large subunit ribosomal RNA
Source: RNAcentral